RNAcentral lists this ribosomal RNA (960 nucleotides) under Triticum aestivum (bread wheat). RNAcentral's name for it is "partial small subunit ribosomal RNA". Lineage: Eukaryota; Viridiplantae; Streptophyta; Magnoliopsida; Poales; Poaceae. The record is from RNAcentral.
AUGCUUGUAAAAGCAUUGACAUACAAAUCUGUUCUCACUAGUUAUGCCAACAGAAAGAUGAUAGAUUCUCCAAGUGAGGAGGAAUGGGAGAAGUCAAAAGCUAUUUGUGAGUUUCUAAAAGCUUUUGAAGAGCUUACUUUGAUCGUUUUAGCUCAUAGGAAGCCAACUUCACAUAAGUUUCUGCCAGUUGUGCUUUCUAUUCGCCAUGCAUUGAAAGAUCCGGGUUGGCAGACCUCUGAUGUGUUGAAGGAAUUGGCGGCAGUGAUGCAAACGAAGCUUGAUAAAUAUUGGGAUCCCGAGGAGAAGGAGAAUGCAGAUCCUAACCGUCGUAGAAAAAGCAAGGGCAUUGAGUUUAACCAGGAACUUGUCAUUGCUACAUUCCUGGAUCCAAGGAGGAAAGAAGAUUACUUGGAUUUCUUCUAUUGCAAGUUGUCUACUGACAGGGAGAAAAUUACAAAACAAGUGGAGAUUGCUUUAGAAUGGGUGAGAAAGUAUGUCAAGGAAUAUGAGCUACUUGCAGCGACAAGCACUGCACACUCGACACCUUCUAGUCAAGGCAAUACCAUUAUUGGAUCACCUGUUGCAGGGAAAAGGAAGUUGGAAGAAGAGUUUGCCCAGCACAAGUCUCGUCGGAGGUCACGUGUACACAAAUCCGAGCUUGAUGCAUACUUGGAAGAAGCAUCCGAGAAGGUCGGUGAUGACUUUGAUGUCUUGGGUUGGUGGAAGAGGCAUGGCGAAAAGUUUCCUAUAUUGGCAUCUAUGGCCCGUGACUUUCUUGCAAUUCCUUUGAGCACAGUGGCAUCUGGAUCAGCCUUUAGUUGUGGUAAGAGGAUACUAGGCGACAAGAGAAGCACUUUGAACCCUGAUAUGCUAGAAGUGCUUGUUUGUGCUAAAGAUUGGUUGUUCAAACCAAAGGAGGGUGAGUUAACCGCUUACAUUUUGGUUCUACUACUUGUGUAG